GGCAAUUUGGCCGAGUGGUUAAGGCGAAAGACUUGAAUGAAUUGACCUUCGGGUCUUCUCCUCAGGAUAUCUUUUGGGAUUUUCCCGCGCAGGUUCGAGUCCUGCAGUUGUCG
This is a transfer RNA of 113 nucleotides. It matches the Rfam family "tRNA". Rfam says of the family: Transfer RNA (tRNA) molecules are approximately 80 nucleotides in length. Their secondary structure includes four short double-helical elements and three loops (D, anti-codon, and T loops). Further hydrogen bonds mediate the characteristic L-shaped molecular structure. tRNAs have two regions of fundamental functional importance: the anti-codon, which is responsible for specific mRNA codon recognition, and the 3' end, to which the tRNAs corresponding amino acid is attached (by aminoacyl-tRNA synthetases). tRNAs cope with the degeneracy of the genetic code in two manners: having more than one tRNA (with a specific anti-codon) for a particular amino acid; and 'wobble' base-pairing, i.e. permitting non-standard base-pairing at the 3rd anti-codon position.